UGAGGAAUAUUGGUCAAUGGGCGAGAGCCUGAACCAGCCAAGUAGCGUGCAGGAUGACGGCCCUAUGGGUUGUAAACUGCUUUUGUAUGGGGAUAAAGUCAGUCACGUGUGAUUGUUUGCAGGUACCAUACGAAUAAGGACCGGCUAAUUCCGUGCCAGCAGCCGCGGUAAUACGGAAGGUCCGGGCGUUAUCCGGAUUUAUUGGGUUUAAAGGGAGCGUAGGCUGGAGAUUAAGUGUGUUGUGAAAUGUAGACGCUCAACGUCUGACUUGCAGCGCAUACUGGUUUCCUUGAGUACGCACAACGUUGGCGGAAUUCGUCGUGUAGCGGUGAAAUGCUUAGAUAUGACGAAGAACUCCGAUUGCGAAGGCAGCUGACGGGAGCGCAACUGACGCUGAAGCUCGAAGGUGCGGGUAUCGAACAGGAUUAGAUACCCUGGUAGUCCACGCCGUAAACGAUGAGUGCUAGGUGUUGGGUCCUUUCCGGGAUUCAGUGCCGCAGCUAACGCAUUAAGCACUCCGCCUGGGGAGUACGACCGCAAGGUUG
Molecule: ribosomal RNA, 545 nt
Filed under: uncultured bacterium
Lineage: Bacteria
Description: bacterial SSU rRNA
Rfam family: Bacterial small subunit ribosomal RNA
Source: RNAcentral